This is a long non-coding RNA of Carassius carassius (crucian carp), 527 nucleotides long. RefSeq lists it as uncharacterized. The record is from RefSeq and is a predicted model, not a curated record. NCBI's taxonomy places the organism in Eukaryota, Metazoa, Chordata, Actinopteri, Cypriniformes, Cyprinidae. The transcript has 3 exons.
CAAGCUAUCAGAAAGUUGUAUGGCAACCACCUCCGGCGCCAAAUAGAACUGGCAGACAUAGACAUUCAGUACAAGAAGAAAAAGAUGGAAAAUCUUGCACUGGAGUCCGAAAUAAAAAAGAGGACAAUUAGAAAACUGGACCUUGAAAUAAAAAAACUUGAGAGGGAGCUCCAAGAAGAUGACACAGCUCAAAAUAAAAAUUAGCAAUCAGUACAACCAAGUCAUCGUUUUAAGGCACCAGCCUCUUUUGCCCACCCCCCCAGCACCAGGUGUGGCCACUAGUCUAUAUGAAGGCCCAAAAUUGUGUGUUCCUUUCUGCUCUGACAAUGGCAUGCCCAUUCUUGCGAGAUGUGGUGGAUGAAGAAGCACUUGUGCUGAGGAGAGCCUUCAGGCGAGAAAGGGUCUUCAGGGACCGGUUGGACCCACUGGCCUUCCCUGAUGACCAUCUAUAUGAAAGAUACAGGUUUUCUGCAGAUGGCAUCAGGUAUCUAUGCAGACUACUGGGUCCCAGGAUUAAGCACCGCACU